CCUACGGGGGGCAGCAGUGGGGAAUAUUGGACAAUGGGGGGAACCCUGAUCCAGCCAUGCCGCGUGUGUGAAGAAGGCCCUCGGGUUGUAAAGCACUUUCAGUGAGGAAGAACGCCUGGUGGUUAAUACCCAUCAGGAAAGACAUCACUCACAGAAGAAGCACCGGCUAACUCCGUGCCAGCAGCCGCGGUAAUACGGAGGGUGCGAGCAUUAAUCGGAAUUACUGGGCGUAAAGCGCGCGUAGGUGGCUUGAUAAGCCGGUUGUGAAAGCCCCGGGCUCAACCUGGGAACGGCAUCCGGAACUGUCAAGCUAGAGUGCAGGAGAGGAAGGUAGAAUUCCCGGUGUAGCGGUGAAAUGCGUAGAGAUCGGGAGGAAUACCAGUGGCGAAGGCGGCCUUCUGGACUGACACUGACACUGAGGUGCGAAAGCGUGGGUAGCAAACAGGAUUAGAUACCCUGGUAGUC
Molecule: ribosomal RNA, 465 nt
Filed under: Vreelandella stevensii
Lineage: Bacteria; Pseudomonadati; Pseudomonadota; Gammaproteobacteria; Oceanospirillales; Halomonadaceae
Description: partial 16S ribosomal RNA
Rfam family: Bacterial small subunit ribosomal RNA
Source: RNAcentral